RNAcentral lists this unclassified non-coding RNA (480 nucleotides) under Hevea brasiliensis (rubber tree). The record is from RNAcentral. Lineage: Eukaryota; Viridiplantae; Streptophyta; Magnoliopsida; Malpighiales; Euphorbiaceae.
GGUGGCUAAUGAUCUCAAGUCAACUGGUGGCACAUCAAAAUCUAUUAUGACAAUUGCUUUCCAGUUUGCAUUUGAAAGCCACAUGCAAGAGAAUGUUGCAUCAAUGGCUAGAAAAUAUGUACGAAGCUUCAUUUCAUCUGUUCAAAGGGUCGCAUUAGCACUUUCUCCAUCUAACUUCGGUUCCCUGGGAGGCCUUCGUCUGCCGCUGGGGACUCCUGAAGUACAUACACUGGCUCGGUGGAUCUGCCAAAGUUACAGGCGAUUUCUGGGUGUGGAGCUUCCAAAAUUGAGUAGUGAAGGAAGUGAGUCUCUCCUUGAUAGCCUAUGGCAUCACUCAGAUGCUAUUAUCUGCUGCUCUGCAAAGGCUUUGCCAGUUUUCACAUUUGCAAACCAGGGUGGUCUUGACAUGCUCGAGACAACCUUGGUCGCGCUUCAAGAUAUCUCUUUGGAGAAAAUAUUUGAUGAACACGGAAGGAAAAA